CUGAUCUCUCUGCUGAUCCCAAGUGGGUUAUUGCUGUGCUCAGAGUGGGAGGUGAGCCUCAGAGCUGGAGGGCAGGAAAGAGAAGGAAUGUCUGUGGGAAGGAUGGACAGGCCAACAGGACAAAAGAGAAAACAGUGAAGGAAAUAAGAGCUGCAGAGUCAAGGAGGAAUCGUAUGGUGUGUUCAGGCUGGGCUGGUGC
Molecule: long non-coding RNA, 199 nt
Organism: Serinus canaria (Common canary)
Lineage: Eukaryota; Metazoa; Chordata; Aves; Passeriformes; Fringillidae
Exons: 3
Source: RefSeq, a predicted model, not a curated record